GAUGAACGCUGGCGGCGUGCCUAAUACAUGCAAGUCGAACGCACAGCGAAAGGUGCUUGCACCUUUCAAGUGAGUGGCGAACGGGUGAGUAACACGUGGACAACCUGCCUCAAGGCUGGGGAUAACAUUUGGAAACAGAUGCUAAUACCGAAUAAAACUCAGUGUCGCAUGACACAAAGUUAAAAGGCGCUUUGGCGUCACCUAGAGAUGGAUCCGCGGUGCAUUAGUUAGUUGGUGGGGUAAAGGCCUACCAAGACAAUGAUGCAUAGCCGAGUUGAGAGACUGAUCGGCCACAUUGGGACAGAGACACGGCCCAAACUCCUACGGGAGGCUGCAGUAGGGAAUCUUCCACAAUGGGCGAAAGCCUGAUGGAGAAACGCCGCGUGUGUGAUGAAGGCUUUCGGGUCGUAAAGCACUGUUGUAUGGGAAGAACAGCUAGAAUAGGGAAUGAUUUUAGUUUGACGGUACCAUACCAGAAAGGGACGGCUAAAUACGUGCCAGCAGCCGCCGUAA
Molecule: ribosomal RNA, 513 nt
Filed under: uncultured bacterium
Lineage: Bacteria
Description: partial 16S ribosomal RNA
Rfam family: Bacterial small subunit ribosomal RNA
Source: RNAcentral